This 474-nucleotide long non-coding RNA is filed under the name Equus caballus (horse). RNAcentral describes it as "lncRNA (ENSECAG00000054582.1)". The record is from RNAcentral. Lineage: Eukaryota; Metazoa; Chordata; Mammalia; Perissodactyla; Equidae.
UGUCUGCAUCUGCUGGUCUUCGUGAGGAGUGAGGACACUGUCUGCGUAAAGCACAUUCCCUUUCGCCUGUCUGCUACAGAGCAGUGUGGGCAGGACCUGGGACUUACUUAUGGGCUGCUGAAUAUGACAAGCAUGAGGGGAUUUUACUGGAUCCUGAAUUCUUCUAGUCUCCUGAAAUAUCUGGCUAAAAAUCUACAAACUACCAUUUUCAAUUUUUUCCAUCAUUUCCAUUUGGACUCAUUGAGAACUGAACCUGCCUGUUUUCCUGAAGCCAAGCAAACUGAAGCUGGAGGACUUGAUAUAAAAUUAAGAGAGAUUCAUGUCUGUUGCUAUGUAAGCCAUUCAUAAAUAUACCUGAAUACCCAAUGACAUCAUUAGAGACGUUUCAAACUUAAAAAGAUGCUUUGACGCUGACAUCUAGAAAUCUUUUUGACAGGCUGCCCCCUGGGCUCUGAAACUGGUUUAUAAUUUGCU